Molecule: ribosomal RNA, 468 nt
Filed under: uncultured bacterium
Lineage: Bacteria
Description: partial 16S ribosomal RNA
Rfam family: Bacterial small subunit ribosomal RNA
Source: RNAcentral
GACGAACGCUGGCGGCGUGCUUAACACAUGCAAGUCGAACGGAAAGGCACUGCUUUUGUGGGGUGCUCGAGUGGCGAACGGGUGAGUAACACGUGAGUAACCUGCCCUUGACUUUGGGAUAACUUCAGGAAACUGGGGCUAAUACCGGAUAGGAGCUCCUGCUGCAUGGUGGGGGUUGGAACGUUUCGGCGGUUGGGGAUGGACUCGCGGCUUAUCAGCUUGUUGGUUGGGUAGUGGCUUACCAAGGCUUUGACGGGUAGCCGGCCUUAGAGGGUGACCGGCCACAUUGGGACUGAGAUACGGACCAGACUCCUACGGGAGGCAGAGGUGGGAAAUAUUGCACAAUGGGCGGAAGCCUGAUGCAGCAACGCCGCGUGCGGGAUGACGGCCUUCGGGUUGUAAACCGCUUUCGCCUGUGACGAAGCGUGAGUGACGGUAAUGGGUAAAGAAGCACCGGCUAACUACGUG